AUAAAAAUCGAGCAUUAUUUAACCGAAAACCCGACAUGUUGGCCCUCUCUGUGCUGGCACUCUCCAGUGUUUACAUUGGGAAAACAAUUGAAAUCAUAACAAUAAAAUCAAAUUCGAAAUUUUUGAGUGUAGAGU
This 135-nucleotide long non-coding RNA is filed under the name Drosophila guanche. It matches the Rfam family "Bithoraxoid conserved region 3". From Rfam's summary of the family: Bithoraxoid (bxd) is a long non-coding RNA found in Drosophila. It silences the expression of the Ultrabithorax (Ubx) gene by transcriptional interference. Lineage: Eukaryota; Metazoa; Arthropoda; Insecta; Diptera; Drosophilidae. The record is from RNAcentral.